GAUGAACGCUGGCGGCGUGCUUAACACAUGCAAGUCGAACGAAGCACCUUAGACAGAAGCCUUCGGGCGGAAGACUUUGGUGACUUAGUGGCGGACGGGUGAGUAACGCGUGGGUAACCUGCCCUGUACCGGGGGCCAACAGGUGGAAACGACUGCUAAUACCGCAUAAGCGCACAGCAUCGCAUGAUGCAGUGUGAAAAACUCCGGUGGUACAGGAUGGACCCGCGUCUGUUUAGCUAGUUGGUGAGGUAACGGCUUACCAAGGCAACGAUCAGUAGCCGACUUGAGGGAGUGAUCGGCCACAUUGGGACUGAGACACGGCCCAAACUCCUACGGGAGGCAGCAGUGGGGAAUAUUGCACAAUGGGGGAAACCCUGAUGCAGCGACGCCGCGUGAAGGAAGAAGUAUUUCGGUAUGUAAACUUCUAUCAGCAAGGAAGAAAAUGACGGUACUUGACUAAGAAGCCCCGGCUAAAUACGUGCCAGCAGCCGCCGUAA
Molecule: ribosomal RNA, 497 nt
Filed under: uncultured bacterium
Lineage: Bacteria
Description: partial 16S ribosomal RNA
Rfam family: Bacterial small subunit ribosomal RNA
Source: RNAcentral